GGACUACAGGGGUAUCUAAUCCUGUUCGCUCCCCACGCUUUCGUCCAUCAGCGUCAGUUAAAUCUUAGUUACCUGCCUUCGCAAUAGGUGUUCUAUGUAAUAUCUAUGCAUUUCACCGCUACACUACAUAUUCCGGCAACUUCAAAUUCACUCAAGACUAACAGUAUCAAUGGCAGUUUCGCAGUUGAGCUGCGAGAUUUCACCACUGACUUAUUAGCCCGCCUACGGACCCUUUAAACCCAAUGAAUCCGGAUAACGCUUGCAUCCUCCGUAUUACCGCGGCGGCUGGCAC
Molecule: ribosomal RNA, 292 nt
Filed under: uncultured Bacteroidota bacterium
Lineage: Bacteria; Pseudomonadati; Bacteroidota
Description: uncultured Bacteroidetes bacterium partial 16S ribosomal RNA
Source: RNAcentral